UACGGGGGGGGCAAGCGUUGUUCGGAAUUACUGGGCGUAAAGCGUGCGCAGGCGGCUUCUCAAGUCAGGGGUGAAAGCCCAGAGCUUAACUCUGGAAUUGCCUUUGAGACUGGGAGGCUUGAGUACGGGAGAGGUGAGUGGAAUUCCCAGUGUAGAGGUGAAAUUCGUAGAUAUUGGGAAGAACACCGGUGGCGAAGGCGGCUCACUGGCCCGUAACUGACGCUCAUGCACGACAGCGUGGGGAUCAAACAGG
RNAcentral lists this ribosomal RNA (253 nucleotides) under uncultured bacterium. RNAcentral describes it as "partial 16S ribosomal RNA". It matches the Rfam family "Bacterial small subunit ribosomal RNA", at positions 524 to 776 of the family's 1533-position model. The record is from RNAcentral.